ACUCCUACGGGAGGGCAGCAGUGGGGGAAUAUUGGGCAAUGGGGCGGAAAGCCUGACCCAGCGACGCCGGCGUGGGGGGAAGAAGUCUUUCGGGAUGUAAACCCUUGUUGUACGGGACGAAGGAAGUGACGGUACCGUACGAGGAAGCCCCGGCAAACUACGUGCCAGCAGCCGCGGUAAUACGUAGGGGGCGAGCGUUGUCCGGAAUCACUGGGCGUAAAGCGCACGUAGGCGGGCUGUCAAGUCGGCCGUGAAAGGCACGGGCUCAACCUGUGCAUGUCGGUCGAUACUGGCGGUCUGGAGUAUGGGAGAGGGAAACUGGUAUUCCCGGUGUAGCGGUGAAAAUGCGUAGAUAUCGGGAGGAACACCAGUGGCGUAAGGCGGGUUCCUGGCCCAUGACUGACGCUGAGGUGCGAAAGCCGGGGGAGCGGACGGGAUUAGAUACCCCGGUAGUCCCGGCUGUAAACGAUGGAUGCUAGGUGUGGGGGG
RNAcentral lists this ribosomal RNA (489 nucleotides) under uncultured bacterium. Its description in RNAcentral is "bacterial SSU rRNA". It matches the Rfam family "Bacterial small subunit ribosomal RNA", at positions 335 to 829 of the family's 1533-position model. The record is from RNAcentral.